AUUUACUUAAAAUUUAGAGAAUUUGGCGGUGGUUUAGUCUUAUUAGAGGAACCUGUUUUUUAAUCGAUAUUCCACGCAGUAUCUUGCUUGCUUUAAGUUUGUAUACCAUCAUUAUUAGAUAAUUUUUAAAAAAGAAAUUAUUGGGAUUGAAUUAUUAAAGAGAUUAGAUCAAGGUGCAGCUAAUAAACAAGUUAAAAUGGGUUACAAUAGAAUUAAUACUAUUAUGGAUAUAAUUAGUAAAUAUUAGAUAUAGAAGGUGGAUUUAAUUGUAAUGAUAGUUUAAUAAGCUAAAAUGACAAAAGCUCUAAAUCAUGUACACAUCGCC
This 325-nucleotide ribosomal RNA is filed under the name Rouxana sp. 2 SAD-2004. RNAcentral describes it as "partial 12S ribosomal RNA". The record is from RNAcentral. Lineage: Eukaryota; Metazoa; Arthropoda; Malacostraca; Decapoda; Gecarcinucidae.